This 384-nucleotide ribosomal RNA is filed under the name Triticum aestivum (bread wheat). RNAcentral's name for it is "partial small subunit ribosomal RNA". Lineage: Eukaryota; Viridiplantae; Streptophyta; Magnoliopsida; Poales; Poaceae. The record is from RNAcentral.
AUGUCAUAUGUCGACUUUGAGGUAUAUGUGCCUGCAUUAUUCCAUCUCCAAAGGGGGGUAUCAUUGUGCACCGGAUCCAGCACCAAAUUGAUCAUUAUGUCCCAGAGGUUGAUGAUAUGCAACAGCCCAUCUGAACACAACUCUCCCGAGAUGUCAUUCGCCCAACGAUGGAGAUGCAUCGCCUCACUUACGGUCCGUUUGUUCACCACUUGCGUGCGGACCUUCACCACUUGUCUCAAUAUUUUCUCUCAUACUCUUUUCCAUGGUCUAUAUCUAUGCUACAGUAUCCGCAAAAAAAAAGAACUACACUAUAGCACCAUACCAAGUUUUAACACAAAUACAGCUUAUGAGAAUUUUGGAAAAUAUAUAUAUUAUAUAGAUUGA